GACGAACCGUGCGAACGUUGUUCGGAAUCACUGGGCUUAAAGGGCGCGUAGGCGGGCGGUCAAGUCAGGGGUGAAAUCCCACGGCUCAACCGUGGAGGUGCCUUUGAUACUGGCCGCCUCGAGGGAGGUAGGGGCGUGCGGAACUUCCGGUGGAGCGGUGAAAUGCGUAGAUAUCGGAAGGAACACCGGUGGCGAAGGCGGCACUCUGGGCCGGUACUGACGCUGAGGAGCGAAAGCGUGGGGAGCGAACAGG
Molecule: ribosomal RNA, 253 nt
Filed under: uncultured bacterium
Lineage: Bacteria
Description: partial 16S ribosomal RNA
Rfam family: Bacterial small subunit ribosomal RNA
Source: RNAcentral